This 540-nucleotide ribosomal RNA is filed under the name Trichoderma hamatum. RNAcentral's name for it is "eukaryotic LSU rRNA". The stretch from base 164 to 317 matches the Rfam family "5.8S ribosomal RNA". The record is from RNAcentral. Lineage: Eukaryota; Fungi; Ascomycota; Sordariomycetes; Hypocreales; Hypocreaceae.
CCCAAUGUGAACGUUACCAAACUGUUGCCUCGGCGGGGUCACGCCCCGGGUGCGUAAAAGCCCCGGAACCAGGCGCCCGCCGGAGGAACCAACCAAACUCUUUCUGUAGUCCCCUCGCGGACGUAUUUCUUACAGCUCUGAGCAAAAAUUCAAAAUGAAUCAAAACUUUCAACAACGGAUCUCUUGGUUCUGGCAUCGAUGAAGAACGCAGCGAAAUGCGAUAAGUAAUGUGAAUUGCAGAAUUCAGUGAAUCAUCGAAUCUUUGAACGCACAUUGCGCCCGCCAGUAUUCUGGCGGGCAUGCCUGUCCGAGCGUCAUUUCAACCCUCGAACCCCUCCGGGGGAUCGGCGUUGGGGAUCGGGACCCCUCACCGGGUGCCGGCCCUGAAAUACAGUGGCGGUCUCGCCGCAGCCUCUCCUGCGCAGUAGUUUGCACAACUCGCACCGGGAGCGCGGCGCGUCCACGUCCGUAAAACACCCAACUUCUGAAAUGUUGACCUCGGAUCAGGUAGGAAUACCCGCUGAACUUAAGCAUAUCAAU